RNAcentral lists this non-coding RNA (88 nucleotides) under Marinobacter sp. Its description in RNAcentral is "Glycine sequence". It matches the Rfam family "Glycine riboswitch aptamer". Rfam says of the family: This family represents the bacterial glycine riboswitch. Glycine riboswitches usually consist of two metabolite-binding aptamers domains with similar structures in tandem. The record is from RNAcentral. Lineage: Bacteria; Pseudomonadati; Pseudomonadota; Gammaproteobacteria; Pseudomonadales; Marinobacteraceae.
GCGAUCCCCGCAGGAGAGAGGGCGCUGCAAGCCCCGCCGAAGGCGCAAACUCCCAUAAACGCUCAGGCACAAGUACUGCGACCAUCAA